GUACUCCGCUAUCCUGGGCGGGAAUCCAAGACGGAACACACUUUCUUUUCCCGCUCCCGUUUUAAGAGCCGCGCGUAGUUUAGGGGGGGGGGGCAGAUCUGCUCCAGUUUACCUGCUGUUUACAUUUCUCAGCGUGUCCUUACGUGUAACAGUUCCAGCUGACCGUCUUGAGUUCGCAGCCUUGCCUUUCAUUGCAUUCAGGUGGCUGGGAACGUGCAGGGGAUGCUGUGGGGAGUUGAGUGGCUGCUUGGUGGGGUACCCCUAAUGGCACAGCCUGGUCUGGGUUGUAGCAAUACAGAAUGACCCUCCCCCCCCCCCAGCAGCAGCUGGGCUCCAGUACGGAGAGGAUGGCCUGGCCGACCACUUGUGACUGCACCGGCCCCAGGUCCGAAACGGUGAUCAAAAUGAAAAUGAAACGCGGGUUUUACGCGCCGGACGCACCUUUUCCAGAUCUAAGGAGUCGGGCCGGCUGUAAAACAUGCCGAGGGCAGUCUGCGCUUGGACGCUGGCUUUUGGGUUUCCGUCGUCUGCGGCGAGAAGCCAAAGUCUUGGGAGGGACAGGCAAAGGAAAAACGGGACAUUUCCAGUCAAGCCUCAGUCAGCGUCGCAGGGCUGGACACCGCAUCCUUCCAGGUACGCCCUGCCCACGUUGUACAGCGCGGCGUAUUUCAAGGGCCGAGCUUCGGGCAGGUCAGAGGAGGCCACUCGGAGCAUGUACUCCACAGCUCUCUCCUGUCGGAUUCACAAACACAGGCGGGCGAGAACCGUUUCUUCCGUUUUCUCACUGCGGUGCACCCCGAGCCUUUUAAAAAAAAAAACUUGCACAAGGCCGUAAGCACUAAACUGUUUAAGGGCUCUUGUUGACGUCUUCACAAGGGAAGUGGAGAGUAUCGGCAGAGAGGAGGCAGGAGUGUCUCAGGUAAGGCAGAAGCUCUCAAGAUGAUUAAAUCCCCAGGGCCUGACAGUAUCUUGCCAGUUGUUCUCAAGGACACGAGAGAUGUUAUUCAGAAGCCACUGACAGAACUAGUCCAGCAGUCUUAGCCAGGGACUGGAGAACUGCUCAUGCAGUCCCCGUUUAUACAGAAGGGUGAGGAAGCUGAAUCAGGUAAUUAUAGACCAAUACACUCUACUGUUAUUAAAACUAAACUAGGGAGCUGCGUCAGCAUGCAUAGGCAGCACAGGAACAAGUAAAGGUUUAUUCCCUGCUGAAAAGAGAAGAAAA
This is a non-coding RNA of Lepisosteus oculatus (spotted gar), 1222 nucleotides long. Lineage: Eukaryota; Metazoa; Chordata; Actinopteri; Semionotiformes; Lepisosteidae. The record is from RefSeq and is a predicted model, not a curated record.